This 468-nucleotide ribosomal RNA is filed under the name uncultured bacterium. RNAcentral's name for it is "partial 16S ribosomal RNA". It matches the Rfam family "Bacterial small subunit ribosomal RNA", at positions 28 to 507 of the family's 1533-position model. The record is from RNAcentral.
GACGAACGCUGGCGGCGUGCUUAACACAUGCAAGUCGAACGGAAAGGCCCUGCUUUUGUGGGGUGCUCGAGUGGCGAACGGGUGAGUAACACGUGAGUAACCUGCCCUUGACUUUGGGAUAACUUCAGGAAACUGGGGCUAAUACCGGAUAGGAGCUCCUGCUGCAUGGUGGGGGUUGGAAAGUUUCGGCGGUUGGGGAUGGACUCGCGGCUUAUCAGCUUGUUGGUGGGGUAGUGGCUUACCAAGGCUUUGACGGGUAGCCGGCCUGAGAGGGUGACCGGCAAAAUUGGGACUGAGAUACGGCCCAGACUCCUACGGGAGGAAGAAGUGGGGAAUAUUGCACAAUGGGCGGAAGCCUGAUGCAGCAACGCCGCGUGCGGGAUGACGGCCUUCGGGUUGUAAACCGCUUUCGCCUGUGACGAAGCGUGAGUGACGGUAAUGGGUAAAGAAGCACCGGCUAACUACGUG